GCCAGUGUGGUGUAGUGGUUUGAGCAUUGGACUAUGACUCUGGAGACCAGGGUUUGAAUCCCAGGUUGGCC
This is a non-coding RNA of Phrynosoma platyrhinos (Desert horned lizard), 71 nucleotides long. NCBI's taxonomy places the organism in Eukaryota, Metazoa, Chordata, Lepidosauria, Squamata, Phrynosomatidae. The record is from the annotation of a GenBank genome assembly.